CCAAUAGCGUAUAUUAAAGUUGUUGCAGUUAAAAAGCUCGUAGUUGAAUUUCGGGGUUCUUCCGUUGGUCAGGCUAACAAGUCUGUACUAGCGUGUAGAAUCUCUACCUUCUGGGGAACCAUCAUGUUAUUAAUUUAGCGUGGUGGGAAACCAGGACCUUUACCUUGAAAAAAUUAGAGUGUUCAAAGCAGGCUUACGUCUGAAUACAUUAGCAUGGAAUAAUAAAAUAGGACGGUGGUCCUGUUUUGUUGGUUUCUGAAUCACCGUAAUGAUUAAUAGGGAUAGUUGGGGGCAUUAGUAUGCAAUUGUCAGAGGUGAAAUUCUUGGAUUUAUUGAAGACUAACUUCUGCGAAAGCAUUUGCCAAGGAUGUUUUCAUUAAUCAAGAACGAAAGUUAGGGGAUCGAAGACGAUCAGAUACCGUCGUAGUCUUAACCAUAAACUAUGCCGACUAGGGAUCGGACGAUGUUAAAUUUUAUUGACUCGUUCGGCGCCUUACG
Molecule: ribosomal RNA, 498 nt
Filed under: uncultured Scutellospora
Lineage: Eukaryota; Fungi; Glomeromycota; Glomeromycetes; Diversisporales; Gigasporaceae
Description: SSU rRNA
Rfam family: Eukaryotic small subunit ribosomal RNA
Source: RNAcentral